Molecule: ribosomal RNA, 468 nt
Filed under: uncultured bacterium
Lineage: Bacteria
Description: partial 16S ribosomal RNA
Rfam family: Bacterial small subunit ribosomal RNA
Source: RNAcentral
GACGAACGCUGGCGGCGUGCUUAACACAUGCAAGUCGAACGGAAAGGCCCUGCUUUUGUGGGGUGCUCGAGUGGCGAACGGGUGAGUAACACGUGAGUAACCUGCCCUUGACUUUGGGAUAACUUCAGGAAACUGGGGCUAAUACCGGAUAGGAGCUCCUGCUGCAUGGUGGGGGUUGGAAAGUUUCGGCGGUUGGGGAUGGACUCGCGGCUUAUCAGCUUGUUGGUGGGGUAGUGGCUUACCAAGGCUUUGACGGGUAGCCGGCCUGAGCGGGUGACCGGCCACAUUGGGACUGAGAUACGGCCCAGUAUCCUACGGGAGGCAGCAGUGGGGAAUAUUGCACAAUGGGCGGAAGCCUGAUGCAGCAACGCCGCGUGCGGGAUGACGGCCUUCGGGUUGUAAACCGCUUUCGCCUGUGACGAAGCGUGAGUGACGGUAAUGGGUAAAGAAGCACCGGCUAACUACGUG